AAAACUUGUUUAUAGUAUGCAUUUUACAAGAAAAGCUUUAGCAUACAAAUUUACAUCCACCAAGGUACACAGCAAUGUAUAAAAAAAAAAAUGUGGUAUAUCUAUGACUACAUAGAUCCUAAAAUUACAGUGUGCUUGAAAAACUUACAAUUGAUUUUAUGUGGGAUGAAUACCUGCCCUGCCCAAACCUAUUAAGAAGGCACUAUAGUUACUUCCAGUCAGUAUCUCUUCUAAACUUUUUAGCUUGAAAAUUUAGAACAACAGAAUAAACAAAUCGCGAAUUCCUUGUGCACUGAAUAAGUUGCAUAUGUCUCCAUUUUCUGAGAGCUCAGCAGAAAUAGAAAAUGUGUAUCAACUAUCAUGUGAAGUAGGAUAGUGCAUUCCAUCUUUUAGGUGGCUUACUGCUGUGGGACAAAACCAUUUCAGCAUGCUUGGACCCAAUACCUGAUCAAAGGCAAACGAAUUAGAAUUUUAAUGAACU
This 481-nucleotide unclassified non-coding RNA is filed under the name Hevea brasiliensis (rubber tree). The record is from RNAcentral. Lineage: Eukaryota; Viridiplantae; Streptophyta; Magnoliopsida; Malpighiales; Euphorbiaceae.